AGUUGAUUGGGAAACUCAUCAAUUGAUAUGAAAUGCCGAGACAAGCUUUCUUCUCCAAUGGCGGGCCACGCCUUUAGGUAUGCUUUUAGCACGGUGGAUUACAAAGGAGGGGGGCACUCAAAUCCUGUUAUUCGGAGUUUCAUCACAUCCUUCGGUGCGACUUUUUU
RNAcentral lists this small RNA (167 nucleotides) under Coprobacter secundus. RNAcentral describes it as "Bacteroidales-1 6S-Bacteroidales RNA suggested". It matches the Rfam family "Bacteroidales-1 6S-Bacteroidales RNA suggested". Lineage: Bacteria; Pseudomonadati; Bacteroidota; Bacteroidia; Bacteroidales; Barnesiellaceae. The record is from RNAcentral.